AUGAACGCUAGCGACAGGCCUAACACAUGCAAGUCAGGGGCAGCACAAGGAGCAAUCUGAGGUGGCGACCGGCGCACGGGUGAGUAACACGUAUGCAACCUGCCUGUAAGCGGGGAAUAACCCGUUGAAAGACGGACUAAUACCGCAUAAUACUAAAUUACUGCAUGGUAAUUUAUUUAAACAUUUAUGGCUUACAGAUGGGCAUGCGCAUGAUUAGCUAGUUGGAGAGGUAACGGCUCCCCAAGGCAACGAUCAUUAGGGGUUCUGAGAGGAAGGUCCCCCCACACUGGUACUGAGACACGGACCAGACUCCUACGGGAGGCAGCAGUGAGGAAUAUUGGUCAAUGGACGAGAGUCUGAACCAGCCAAGUCGCGUGCAGGAAGAAUUGUCCUAUGGAUUGUAAACUGCUUUUGCAGGGGAAUAAAGUGAGCCACGUGUGGUUUUUGUAUGUACUCUGCGAAUAAGGAUCGGCUAACUCCGUGCCAGCAGCAGC
RNAcentral lists this ribosomal RNA (494 nucleotides) under uncultured bacterium. RNAcentral's name for it is "bacterial SSU rRNA". It matches the Rfam family "Bacterial small subunit ribosomal RNA", at positions 29 to 518 of the family's 1533-position model. The record is from RNAcentral.